This is a small nuclear RNA of Saimiri boliviensis boliviensis (Bolivian squirrel monkey), 104 nucleotides long. NCBI's taxonomy places the organism in Eukaryota, Metazoa, Chordata, Mammalia, Primates, Cebidae. The record is from Ensembl.
GUGCUUGCUUUGGCGGCACAUAUACUAAAAUUAGAAUAAUAUGGAGAUUAGCAUGGCCCCUGUGCAAGGAUGAUAUGCAAAUUCAUGAAGCACUCCACAUGUUU